AUGAGGUCAAUGAUGUGGAGAUUUUACCAGAGAUGUUGUUUUCAAGUAAGAUUUUGUGUGAGAUUAUACCGAUCGCACCAGCACGCCACAUUGUUACUCCACGGCAAAGGCAUCGAGGCAGUUGUUCACGGCAGACCAGUGAGCGGCGGCUGGUGGGCGCGACCACAUGGUGGUUGGAAGGUAGGCUUCGUGGCGUUCAGCCUCGGCCACCGUCGUACCACGAUCUCGCCCCACCCGGAAAGUCAGAUGAAGAGGUGGUGGAUGACUGAUCCCGGAGAGGGGAACAAGCCUCCGAGCACGUGCUCGUCAACUCCAUGCCGGCCGCUCCAAGCGACACUGCUUCGUGUCUUCAAGGCAGGCGCUGAGAUAGCCGUUGCAGUGAGCUGUGGUGUGUGGACUCUGCGGCCAGAUGGGAUUCAGAAUCCUUUUCCGUGA
Molecule: ribosomal RNA, 435 nt
Filed under: Triticum aestivum (bread wheat)
Lineage: Eukaryota; Viridiplantae; Streptophyta; Magnoliopsida; Poales; Poaceae
Description: partial small subunit ribosomal RNA
Source: RNAcentral